AUUUUAACUUGGUGACCUAGAAAAUUCCGAAUUUCUAAUUUCUAGGCCACCAAAAAA
Non-coding RNA from Caenorhabditis elegans, 57 nucleotides. Lineage: Eukaryota; Metazoa; Nematoda; Chromadorea; Rhabditida; Rhabditidae. The record is from Ensembl.